UUACCCUCUUCAGACAGUCGCCAUCGCCCACAUACUCAGCUGCCCUCUGACGGAGGACCUCCUGGGGGCGCUGCUUGAAGGCUUGUCCAGUACUCCGUGAAUUUGCUGUAUUUGCUGUAUGACCUCUCUUUCCGUGUGACCUAUCUGAGAGUUCAUGGGUGAAAGGAGCAUCUUCAUAGUCCUCACUUCCUGAUGAGAGUAAGGAUCUACGGUGCUGCUCUCGUAGCAUAAAAUGCAUAGUGUUCCUACAGCUCCCCUGUCUCUUUUUGACACCAAGGAUGGAAUCCAUCCUUGGAUGAAAGGGUAGUUUCUUAAUUUCAUCGGGCUCUGUUUCAGAGUAAUCUGAAAUGGCUUGUUUACAGUCAAAGUACAUCUCUGGGUCUGAGUCUUCAUGGAAUUGGAGUGCUUGAGCUUUAGGCUUUACAUCAGCGAUAGCAUCAUAGAAGUCAUGUAGAGUACACACAUCCAUAGGCAUGACCUCUGGGCUGAAGAACAUGUCCGGUUCCUCAGUGGUGGGAAGAUCCCUCAGAAAAGAUUCCGCCUCUUCAUUCAACAGUUGCUUUGUGCAUACAGCACUUGGCUCUUCAUGUUUACUUUUGGACGUUUCAACAGUUACUGCCUCUAAAUUGACAGGAGGAACAGCCAAAGAACAUUCCUCUGGAGUUGUAGACAGCUGGUAAGAGGAAAUCUCUUCGACGUCUGCCUGGCUUAGGCUAACUGAAGCUGACAAUGGACGAGUAUUUUGUGAAAAUGAAUGGGGAGAUUCAUGAACAGUCUGGACAAUAUCUUCCUCUAGUGAGUGCAAAGCAGCUGUCAUCGGUACAAGCUGUUGGGACCCGGGGAUGAAUGUAGGAUCGGCAACAGUUUCCUUAUCACGUGCGAAGGUGAUGGUGACCAAAUCAUUGGAAGCCGUUUCCAUGGGCUCAACCUGUUUUUGAGUGAAGGCAGUGGCUUGUUCCUCAAAACCAAAGCAUUUUGAUGAUCUACUUGUGUCUGGUGUCUGUGCAGUCACAUCUGAAGUACAUACAUUUGUGUCAUCAGUAGUAUACGGAGUAGCUUCACAAGGGAUCCAUGAAUGUGUCAUGUCAAGAGUAGUUUGACACACAUAUGUCUUCUCAUCAUGUCCACUGUCAUCAGUAGGGGAUGCAGCUGUAACAGAGCUUAACUGGUAUGAUGAUCCAGCCAGGUCACAAUCCAGUAUACUACUUGCUGCAGCAGUUUCAAUCAUGUCUAAGGGACCUUGGCUAGGGGCAAGAUGGGUCUGGCCAAGAGAAAUAAUUGUUCUACUUUCUCUUACAUCAGAUUCUAUCAGGGUAUGUGGCAACAGCUGAUUCUCAGGUGUUACAAUAACAUAAAAUGUUUGGUCAGACUCCUCUGUGUGGAAAAUUAGUUCUGUGGAUGAGGCUUGGCUUACUUCACUCCCCAUUGCUUCUUCACAUUCUUCGUGUGACUUGGGGAUCUUCAUAUCUGUGACUGAACAUACAGUAGGAUCUGGUGUAUCAGGUCCUUGGGUUUGCCAUGACACAGCUGGAGCCAUAUUGCUCAACUUUCCAGGAUCAGUUCCCUGAUGUUUCACUGAGCCAGAGGCAAUUUUGAUAAGAUCAGGAGUUACUCUAAGUCCUUCCGAACAUGUGUGACUGGACAAAAACUCACUAGAUGUCAGGGGAACAUCUGCUAAACUACCCUCUGCUAUGAUGUCACCUGAAGGGCCACUGUCCACUGACUCCAGACUGAAUGGGUAACCUCUAUCUUUCUGAGGUGAAGAAUCUUUGCUCUCCACGGAUGUAAAGCCCACUCUGUACAAACUUCCUGAGGUUUCCUCAUAUCUAAGAGCUGCUUCCUCGUCAGGUUUGGGGAUCUCACCAGUUUUGUGCUCCUUUUCAUUUGUUUGACAUUCAGAUCCACCAGAUGACACUCCUUGCAUAAUAGAUUUGUGUGGUGCACCUGUAUGUUGACCUGGAGAUUGUGGUGGGCCAUCCUGACUAUCCUUGGAUGUGUGUUUAAGGAGAUCUGGCACUAGUGGGAUAGGCUCAUGAGCACUAAAUGGCACGUCUAUUGACUCUGCAGGUGCCACUCUCUCAUUUGGAUACGGACUGAAAUCACAUGUGUUUUCACUCGGUUCAACUGUCUCCACUUGACUUGCAGGGGAGAAGGAGUUUCUUACAGGUGACAUCAAAGAUGCACUGGCCUUAUACCAAACCUCCAGUUUACUCGGCUCAGAAUCAGGUAACACUGCUUGAUCCAAAGUGCCUGAAACCUAUGAUGUAAUCAUGAAAUGGGAUGAAAAAAACACAAAUGAGAUGUCUUCUUUGAGAAAAUAGCUAACAAAUAGUACAAUCCCACACAUAAACUCAGUGCAUUAAUAAGAUACAGUACAAAUGUGUCAAGCUCAAUUGUGUAGUAGCCCCCAUACAUUCUUUGGGACAAUUUUUCAAACAAAACUCAACUAAAGCAAAACAUUAGGGCAAGUGCAUAAUUGUAAAGGCAAUGUAAAGCACAUAUAGAUUUCAGGGGCACUUAUACAAAGGUAUCUUUAUGCCUGAAAUCUUUUUUUCCUGACUACUUGAUACAAAGCAUACAUAUAUAUGUAUAUAUAUGUAUAUAUACUGUAUAUAUGUAUAUAUAUAUAUAUAUUAUUUGAAAGGCCUAUGUGGGACCCAAGUCAGACAAAAGCAAUGUCACCACAAGGCUGAUUCGACACCAUUCAUGUUACAUGUCACCUUUACUUUGCGUCAUAAGUGAAUGAAUGCAAAGCAGUGCUUGUACUCCCUGGGAACUGAACCUGUGAGCACGGAGCAUGCACCAUGCUCUACCACUUGAAUUACAGUGCAGCUGUGCAGCUGUACAGCUGUGAGAGAUGUGACUGUUAAAAUAUUGCCAUGCCACUGCUCAUUUUCUAUAUUUGACAGCAUGUCAUGUAAUCCGGUGGUUGGUGAAGUAGUUACGCAUCAUGGUGCUGGGGCACUUUAGGACAGGAUCAGAAUGGGGGCAGCAGUAAGAAUCACAAUGCUGAGACUUCCUGAAUCAGCCUUUUUGUUUGGGAGGGUUGGGAGACUCAUCCUGUUGGCCUUAUGCAAACAUGCGAAACAGGGCGAGUCAAACUCUAAGAAGCAGAGACAUUAGUAGGCGUUUAUGCUUUAUGUCUGAAACUAUGCUCAGGGAUUCAGCACUAUUUCCUGUGACACAGCAUCCUUUCAGUGCAAGCGCUCUUACCAACACUGGGAGUCAGCUGCCAGCCUUUGUCAUCUUUCCGCCUGAGUUGUGUCCACCCCCAUUGUUUCUUGGUGGCAAUUUUUCCAGCUUUCUCUUUCUACACUGAUGAACAAAAUCUUAUCUUCUUCUGCGGUGGUUCUUUUUGUUGAUGCUCUUCAGAUUGUUCUUGACAAAGGGGUUGUUGCUCUGCUUUCUUUCAGUUCAAGGAUUACGCCAGCUGGCACAUGACUCAAACAUUUAGAUUAUCUUCAGCUUCACUCUGAUUCAGCUUGAGCUCAAAAAUGAAAAGUGCAAGAUUAACAAGUUAUUUCAACCAAAUCAAAAAAAAUCUUCACUGCAAAAUGGUGGUGCCUAAGCUAUCAAAGCUCCUAGCCCUGGCUCAUAACUGUUACAUAUCUGUAACACUUCAUCUGUCACUGCUCUCUACACCCUUCAUCUGUCACUGCUCUCUACACCCUUCAUCUGUCACUGCUCUUUACACACUUCAUCUGUCACUGCUCUUUACACACGUCAUCUGUCACUGCUCUUUAGACCCUUCAUCUGUCACUGCUCUCUACACCCUUCAUCUGUCACUGCUCUCUACACCCUUCAUCUGUCACUGCUCUUUACACACUUCAUCUGUCACUGCUCUUUACACACGUCAUCUGUCACUGCUCUUUAGACCCUUCAUCUGUCACUGCUCUUUAGACCCUUCAUCUGUCACUGCUCUCUACACCCUUCAUCUGUCACUGUUCUCUACACCCUUCAUCUGCUCCCUUGUCUGCUGGAUCUUACCUAUUCAAAAUCAGAUGAUGGCAAAACCACCUCCCCGUUAAACUGGGUUGUUGGUGAGUACAAUUAACCUACUGGUACCACUUUGUGGUUUUCACACAUUAUAAAUACUUAAAAAAAAACAUGUGCUAAAAAAACAACCCAAUUACACCAGAAACCAGUAGACCUUUUCCAGCAAAGUAACUGCAAUGUCUGCUGAUACACGCUAUUGUGGAGCACAAAAAAGACAGGCAUAUGUAACAAAUUAUGAUCCUCUGACUAAAAGAGGACAUUAAACCAAAUCCGCUCAUCAAGAAGAACCGGCAAACGCUAAUGGCAAAGCUAUGUUCUGCAUGACAAGAGGGUCAACAACACAGCAACAACUGUUUUCUACAUUUGAGCACACAAAAUUGGAUCAGAACUUAAAUAUGACUGAAUUCAGUUCGAUCCCAUUCCUUUCCAAUACAAUGGUGUGAUAAUAUAACAAGAACAUUUCAUAAUGUGGAAAGGAAGGCAACAGAUUUGUAUCUUCAUCAAGCUCACCAGGGAAAUUACUAGGAACAGGGUGAUGCAUUCCAAGGCUACAGGACGAGACAUUUCAAAUUUUAAGACAUAAAUUGUUGUCUCAAUUUCAAUUAGAAUAGUAAUAAAUAUCGGCUUUGCUUGUACUACAUUAUUGUACCUUGGAGGAUAAUUUCCUAAUCAACUGCACUGUGCUUCCUAACACAGUAUGUCAGAGUUAACCAAAUCCAUAAAAUGACCAAAAUAUUCUACUGGGCAAAAUCCUAUGACGUCAUGGAUCAUUUAUCACUAAUAAACUGGGGAUUUGAAAUAAUCACACCUACCACACUUUGUGGUUACAAAUGAAAUCUGAAUGGCAUUUAAUAAUCAGCUAGUUGGGUCUAUGGACAUUUCAUAAAAUUUCAUAUGGUCUAUAGUUAUCAUAGUUAUCAUGACAUAUUAAAUCAAGGUGAUGCACAAACAAAAGAGUGUGGUAGGUGUGAUUUAUAAAUGUUGUCUUUCAUUGAUACCUAUUUGGGUUUAAAGCAUAAAUGUGCCUGCCUGGCCUGUUUGGCAUGUUCAGUACUUUUCAUCAGUUUUUCCUAUCCUCCAUCCUCCAUCCAGCCCUUUCAAAAACACCAGUCUUGCUUAUGAAGGUUUCUCCCUUAUACAGUGGGUCAUACAUAUGUGCCAUAAGUGUGCUUGGGACUGCUUUGUAAACUAGCUGGAACAUAGGAGACAUGAUUGAGGCCUCGUUAUCAGCUAUGAAUUUAGUCUGAGCCAAUGAAUAUUUGCCACUGGAGAAUGAUGUACUUUCUUGAGGCUCAUUAUCAUAAAAGUCAGAUUCGGGAGACUCAGGCCGAUUCUGGAACAUUUCUUCAAGAUCAAAGCUGGAAUCAUCAAUGUCUGAUGUUACAAACUCAGGUGAGGAUGACCUAUCUUCAAAACAUGGUACUCUAUGAUCAGAUAAUGAUGUUCUGAACUGAGGAACUGGCGAGUCAGGUGGCAAACAUGUCAAUUCAUUAAUUGAAGAAACGGAUUCAGGAGAAAGAGGCCUUGUGUCAUCUUUUGGGUAAUCCAGAUACAGAAGUGCUCUAUCGCUCUCAGAAAUGUCUGAUUCAGGAGACAAAUGCCUGUGUAUAGCUGCAUCACUACGGUGGCUAUCACUAUGUUCAUAUUGCACUGAGUCUGGUUCAGGUGACUCUGGUCUUCCAUAAUCUAAGAGAGUCUCUAGGCAUAACUCAGACAGCUCAGUGUCUGAGAUCAAUGAUUCAGUUGAAGGACAUGUACUGUCUGGAAGAAGCAUAAUACAUUCAAGCUGUGGGGGACAGAACUGAGAAUACUCAACGUCUAGGAUUGGUGAUGUGGGAGAGGAUGAUCUACUUCCUGUGUAGAUUGACGUCUCAAAUUCCGCAUGACCAUAUUCAGGAAUAGGUGAAUCAGGAGACAGAAGUUUACCUUCAUCACAUAAACACAAUGGUUCCGGUGAAUCUAUUCUCCCUUCUUGGAACAAUUCCUCAAGAUAAAGGUAAGAGUAUUCAAUAUCUGAUGCUAAAGAUACGGGAGAGGAUGAUCGUUUACCUUUGAAGUUUAACUGUUCAAAUGUAUGGCAGCCAUAUUCAGGAAUAGGGGAAUCAGGAGACAGGGGUGUAUAUUCAUCUAAUGAUGUAAAGGCUUCUGGUGAGGACGUUCUUUCUUCCUCUAACCAUUCAAGGAAAGAUAAUGAAUAGUCAUUUUCAGAUGUGAGGGAGUCUGGUGAUAUUGGUCUAUGCUCACUCAGGCCUCUCACAGUCCCGUUGGUGUUUAUUUCUGAUUCCAGUGACUCUGGUCUGUCUUCACUGAACAACUCUUCAAAACACAUUUCAGAGUAUUCAUUAUCAGAUACUAGAGAUAUGGGAGAUGUUCUACUACUUCCAUAGACAAACUGCUCAAGUAUUGGGCAAACAAACGCAGGAAUAGGUGAAUCAGGAGACAGAAGUCUACCUUCAUCACAUAAACACAAUGGUUCAGGUGAAUCUAUUCUCCCUUCUUGGAACAAUUCCUCAAGAUAAAGGUCAGAGUAUUCAAUAUCUGAUGCUAAAGAUACGGGAGAUGAUGAUCUGCUAGUUGAACAUAUCAGCUGGUCACAUGUAGAAUGAAUAUAUUCAGGAAUAGGGGAUUCAGGAGACAUGGGCCUUCUCUCUGUGAAAAAAUCUAAAUACAGCUCUUCCUCUGUGUUUUCUGAUGUUAGAGAUGCCGGUGAUGUGCUCCUGAGA
Clupea harengus (Atlantic herring) is the source of this 6719-nucleotide long non-coding RNA. NCBI's taxonomy places the organism in Eukaryota, Metazoa, Chordata, Actinopteri, Clupeiformes, Clupeidae. The record is from Ensembl.